AGCUAAUGACCGCGUUUGUUCUGCCAUUUUUAUUAGUUAACUUUUCAAAUGUGCAUGACUUGAAAAAGGGGAAGUAAGUCAGAUCUGCAUCAGCACAUUCUAAUUUAUAUUUAGUGUGAAGCAUUUUAUUUCCGAUCAUAUUCAGCCACACUGCUCUGUCUGUAAGGCUGUUUAAUACUAAUGGCUAAUUAGCAAAGCACUGAGGCCAGAUCAGAACUCUCUCCUGCCAUGCUCUUCAAACCCCUGUUGGUAAUCGUCCUCUCUGUGUCAGGUGUUCUGUGCCAGUGGGAAUGGGGAGUGACUUACACCCCUGAGAGAAUCUGUGCUUUAAAGGGGUCUUCAGUAGACAUGCGCUGCACUUACUCAUAUCCCACAGAUUACACAGUGCAGAGAACAUUCUGGUUUAUUUAUGACUGGAACAGUAGACAGAUGCGUGAAGACCUGUCCAAGGACCCAGAGUACUCUGACCGUGUGGAGUUCCUGGGGAAUCAGAACAGUGACUGCACUUUCAGAAUAAACCAACUGAGAGAAACUGAUUCA
This is a long non-coding RNA of Anguilla anguilla (European eel), 540 nucleotides long. RefSeq lists it as uncharacterized. Lineage: Eukaryota; Metazoa; Chordata; Actinopteri; Anguilliformes; Anguillidae. The record is from RefSeq and is a predicted model, not a curated record. The transcript has 3 exons.